RNAcentral lists this transfer RNA (76 nucleotides) under Thermoanaerobacteraceae bacterium. RNAcentral describes it as "tRNA-Thr". It matches the Rfam family "tRNA". Rfam says of the family: Transfer RNA (tRNA) molecules are approximately 80 nucleotides in length. The record is from RNAcentral. RNAcentral also lists the same sequence under 2 other names. Lineage: Bacteria; Bacillati; Bacillota; Clostridia; Thermoanaerobacterales; Thermoanaerobacteraceae.
GCUGACAUGGCUCAGUUGGUAGAGCAGUUGAUUCGUAAUCAACAGGUCGUGGGUUCAAGUCCCACUGUCAGCUCCA